UACGGAGAGUGCGAGCGUUGCUCGGAUUCACUGGGCGUAAAGGGUACGUAGGCGGCUUGCUAAGUCAGGUGUGGAAGCCCACGGCUUACCCGUGGAAGUGCGCUUGAUACUGGCAGGCUUGAGGCGUUGAGGGGUGGGUGGAACUCUAGGUGGAGCGGUGAAAUGCGUAGAUAUCUAGAGGAACGCCGGAGGCGAAAGCGACCCACUGGUGACGUCCUGACGCUGAGGUACGAAAGCUGGGGGAGCAAACGGG
This 253-nucleotide ribosomal RNA is filed under the name uncultured bacterium. RNAcentral's name for it is "partial 16S ribosomal RNA". It matches the Rfam family "Bacterial small subunit ribosomal RNA", at positions 524 to 776 of the family's 1533-position model. The record is from RNAcentral.